UUUUUGGGUAGAAACCUGAGUACCCAGUGGAAACCCAGUGUCACAUGGAAAACGUGCAAACUCCAUACAGACAGUACCAAAGGUCAGGAUAAAAUCCAGGU
Long non-coding RNA from Amblyraja radiata (thorny skate), 101 nucleotides. RefSeq lists it as uncharacterized. The transcript is spliced from 3 exons. Lineage: Eukaryota; Metazoa; Chordata; Chondrichthyes; Rajiformes; Rajidae. The record is from RefSeq and is a predicted model, not a curated record.